UAGCAUAUCAAUAAGCGGAGGAAAAGAAACCAACAGGGAUUGCCCCAGUAACGGCGAGUGAAGCGGCAACAGCUCAAAUUUGAAAUCUGGCCCCAGGCCCGAGUUGUAAUUUGCAGAGGAUGCUUUUGGCGCGGUGCCUUCCGAGUUCCCUGGAACGGGACGCCAUAGAGGGUGAGAGCCCCGUACGGUUGGACACCAAGCCUUUGUAAAGCUCCUUCGACGAGUCGAGUAGUUUGGGAAUGCUGCUCUAAAUGGGAGGUACAUUUCUUCUAAAGCUAAAUAUUGGCCAGAGACCGAUAGCGCACAAGUAGAGUGAUCGAAAGAUGAAAAGCACUUUGAAAAGAGGGUUAAACAGCACGUGAAAUUGUUAAAAGGGAAGCGCUUGUGACCAGACUUGCGUCCGGUGAAUCACCCAGCUCUCGCGGCUGGGGCACUUCGCCGGCACAGGCCAGCAUCAGCUUGCCGUCGGGGACAAAAGCUUCAGGAACGUGGCUCCUCUCGGGGAGUGUUAUAGCCUGUUGCACAAUACCCUUCGGCGGGCUGAGGUACGCGCUCCGCAAGGAUGCUGGCGUAAUGGUCAUCAGCGACCCGUCUUGAAACACGGACCAAGGAGUCAACCUUAUGUGCGAGUGUUUGGGUGUUAAACCCCUACGCGUAAUGAAAGUGAACGCAGGUGAGAGCUUCGGCGCAUCAUCGACCGAUCCUGAUGUUCUCGGAUGGAUUUGAGUAAGAGCAUAUAGGGUUGGACCCGAAAGAAGGUGAACUAUGCGUGUGUAGGGUGAAGCCAGAGGAAACUCUGGUGGAGGCUCGCAGCGGUUCUGACGUGCAAAUCGAUCGUCAAACAUGCGCAUGGGGGGCGAAAGACUAAUCGAACCUUCUAGUAGCUGGUUUCCGCG
This 896-nucleotide ribosomal RNA is filed under the name Colletotrichum phormii. RNAcentral describes it as "LSU rRNA". It matches the Rfam family "Eukaryotic large subunit ribosomal RNA", at positions 36 to 962 of the family's 3401-position model. Lineage: Eukaryota; Fungi; Ascomycota; Sordariomycetes; Glomerellales; Glomerellaceae. The record is from RNAcentral.